UCGAUGACUGCUGAUCCUUUUCUAAAGGUGUCGGAUUUUUGACAAGUCGAUCUCAUUUCUCCCUGGAAAUGUCGAUGUUGCCUAAAAAUGUCGAUCUCACCUUUUUCUGAGGAAGUCGAUGACUGCUGAUCCUUUUCUAAAGGUGUCGAAUUUUUUGACAAGUCGAUCUCAUUUCUCCCUGGAAAUGUCGAUGUUGCCUAAAAAUGUCGAUCCCACCUUUUUCUGAGGAUGUCGAUUAGAGUGGUGUGAAAUGUCGAUCCUGACCUUCUCUUUUGAAGGUUUCGAAUUCCUUGCCAAA
This 298-nucleotide long non-coding RNA is filed under the name Zostera marina. RNAcentral's name for it is "long non-coding RNA (ZMAR_LNC000376)". Lineage: Eukaryota; Viridiplantae; Streptophyta; Magnoliopsida; Alismatales; Zosteraceae. The record is from RNAcentral.